GCAAUGGAAGUAGUGGAUGUAUUCACUCAAAUUUAUAAGGGUAUAACCUUUUUACUAGUCUAGUUUUGUAGUUUCAAGCUUCUAGUCCUCUAUAGUCCUUAAAAAAGUCGUUAAGUUCAUAAAGACGAUACAACUUAAGAGGUAGCCAACUCAUAAGAGAUUUUCUGCUACAUACCUUUAACAAGCGAGGAACACAGUAAUUUCUGAAUUUCUAUUUGUAGUCAAAAAUCACUGAAUUAUCAGUUUGUUUCAAAAACGAGAGGAUUGUUUAAACUAAUUUGCAUUUUCUUAAACCAAACUUAUUGUAACUUGAAUAAUCUCUUUAAUCUAUUUAUUUUGAAGGUCAAUGAACUCUUAGACAGAUAUGAAAAUUGCUCAAAAUAAUACCGUAAGCUUUCCAAGAAACUAGAUGCUGGUAUUUUAAACAGUAUGGAUCAAAAACAAGAAAAAGUUGAAACUCAUAAAUGCAUUCAACUGCACGACAUAUUUAUUUCCUUCAUGUUUUG
Molecule: non-coding RNA, 506 nt
Organism: Schizosaccharomyces pombe (fission yeast)
Lineage: Eukaryota; Fungi; Ascomycota; Schizosaccharomycetes; Schizosaccharomycetales; Schizosaccharomycetaceae
Source: the annotation of a GenBank genome assembly